This 86-nucleotide transfer RNA is filed under the name Acidiphilium rubrum. RNAcentral describes it as "tRNA-Leu". It matches the Rfam family "tRNA". Rfam says of the family: Transfer RNA (tRNA) molecules are approximately 80 nucleotides in length. Their secondary structure includes four short double-helical elements and three loops (D, anti-codon, and T loops). Lineage: Bacteria; Pseudomonadati; Pseudomonadota; Alphaproteobacteria; Acetobacterales; Acidocellaceae. RNAcentral also lists the same sequence under 6 other names. The record is from RNAcentral.
GUGGAUGUGGCGGAAUGGUAGACGCUGCAGACUUAAAAUCUGUUGCCCGUCAGGGCGUGCGGGUUCGAGUCCCGCCAUCCGCACCA